This 1397-nucleotide ribosomal RNA is filed under the name Micrococcaceae bacterium BQN1R-02d. Its description in RNAcentral is "bacterial SSU rRNA". It matches the Rfam family "Bacterial small subunit ribosomal RNA". The record is from RNAcentral. Lineage: Bacteria; Bacillati; Actinomycetota; Actinomycetes; Micrococcales; Micrococcaceae.
AACAUGCAAGUCGAACGAUGAAGCCCAGCUUGCUGGGUGGAUUAGUGGCGAACGGGUGAGUAACACGUGAGUAACCUGCCCUUAACUCUGGGAUAAGCCUGGGAAACUGGGUCUAAUACCGGAUAGGAGCGUCCACCGCAUGGUGGGUGUUGGAAAGAUUUAUCGGUUUUGGAUGGACUCGCGGCCUAUCAGCUUGUUGGUGAGGUAAUGGCUCACCAAGGCGACGACGGGUAGCCGGCCUGAGAGGGUGACCGGCCACACUGGGACUGAGACACGGCCCAGACUCCUACGGGAGGCAGCAGUGGGGAAUAUUGCACAAUGGGCGAAAGCCUGAUGCAGCGACGCCGCGUGAGGGAUGACGGCCUUCGGGUUGUAAACCUCUUUCAGUAGGGAAGAAGCGAAAGUGACGGUACCUGCAGAAGAAGCACCGGCUAACUACGUGCCAGCAGCCGCGGUAAUACGUAGGGUGCGAGCGUUAUCCGGGAAUUAUUGGGCGUAAAGAGCUCGUAGGCGGUUUGUCGCGUCUGUCGUGAAAGUCCGGGGCUUAACCCCGGAUCUGCGGUGGGUACGGGCAGACUAGAGUGCAGUAGGGGAGACUGGAAUUCCUGGUGUAGCGGUGGAAUGCGCAGAUAUCAGGAGGAACACCGAUGGCGAAGGCAGGUCUCUGGGCUGUAACUGACGCUGAGGAGCGAAAGCAUGGGGAGCGAACAGGAUUAGAUACCCUGGUAGUCCAUGCCGUAAACGUUGGGCACUAGGUGUGGGGACCAUUCCACGGUUUCCGCGCCGCAGCUAACGCAUUAAGUGCCCCGCCUGGGGAGUACGGCCGCAAGGCUAAAACUCAAAGGAAUUGACGGGGGCCCGCACAAGCGGCGGAGCAUGCGGAUUAAUUCGAUGCAACGCGAAGAACCUUACCAAGGCUUGACAUGUUCUCGAUCGCCGUAGAGAUACGGUUUCCCCUUUGGGGCGGGUUCACAGGUGGUGCAUGGUUGUCGUCAGCUCGUGUCGUGAGAUGUUGGGUUAAGUCCCGCAACGAGCGCAACCCUCGUUCCAUGUUGCCAGCACGUAAUGGUGGGGACUCAUGGGAGACUGCCGGGGUCAACUCGGAGGAAGGUGAGGACGACGUCAAAUCAUCAUGCCCCUUAUGUCUUGGGCUUCACGCAUGCUACAAUGGCCGGUACAAUGGGUUGCGAUACUGUGAGGUGGAGCUAAUCCCAAAAAGCCGGUCUCAGUUCGGAUUGGGGUCUGCAACUCGACCCCAUGAAGUCGGAGUCGCUAGUAAUCGCAGAUCAGCAACGCUGCGGUGAAUACGUUCCCGGGCCUUGUACACACCGCCCGUCAAGUCACGAAAGUUGGUAACACCCGAAGCCGGUGGCCUAACCCUUGUGGGGGAGCCGUCA